GAUGAACGCUGGCGGCGUGCCUAAUACAUGCAAGUCGAGCGAACAGACGAGGAGCUUGCUCCUCUGACGUUAGCGGCGGACGGGUGAGUAACACGUGGAUAACCUACCUAUAAGACUGGGAUAACUUCGGGAAACCGGAGCUAAUACCGGAUAAUAUAUUGAACCGCAUGGUUCAAUAGUGAAAGACGGUUUUGCUGUCACUUAUAGAUGGAUCCGCGCCGCAUUAGCUAGUUGGUAAGGUAACGGGUUACCAAGGCGACGAUGCGUAGCCGACCUGAGAGGGUGAUCGGCCACACUGGAACUGAGACACGGUCCAGACUCCUACGGGAGGCAGCAGUAGGGAAUCUUCCGCAAUGGGCGAAAGCCUGACGGAGCAACGCCGCGUGAGUGAUGAAGGUCUUCGGAUCGUAAAACUCUGUUAUUGGGGAAGAACAAAUGUGUAAGUAACUAUGCACGUCUUGACGGUACCUAAUCAGAAAGCCACGGCUAACUACGUG
This 497-nucleotide ribosomal RNA is filed under the name uncultured bacterium. RNAcentral describes it as "partial 16S ribosomal RNA". It matches the Rfam family "Bacterial small subunit ribosomal RNA", at positions 28 to 507 of the family's 1533-position model. The record is from RNAcentral.